This 301-nucleotide ribosomal RNA is filed under the name uncultured bacterium. RNAcentral describes it as "partial 16S ribosomal RNA". It matches the Rfam family "Bacterial small subunit ribosomal RNA", at positions 509 to 809 of the family's 1533-position model. The record is from RNAcentral.
CAGCAGCCACGGGAAUACGGAGGGGGCUAGCGUUAUUCGGAAUUACUGGGCGUAAAGCGCACGUAGGCGGCUUCGCAAGUCAGAGGUGAAAGCCUGGGGCUCAACUCCAGAAUUGCCUUUGAGACUGCGUCGCUCGAAUCCGGGAGAGGUGAGUGGAAUUCCGAGUGUAGAGGUGAAAUUCGUAGAUAUUCGGAAGAACACCAGUGGCGAAGGCGGCUCACUGGACCGGCAUUGACGCUGAGGUGCGAAAGCGUGGGGAGCAAACAGGAUUAGAUACCCGAGUAGUCCCUGUCUCUUAUAA